Molecule: ribosomal RNA, 2928 nt
Filed under: Copidosoma floridanum
Lineage: Eukaryota; Metazoa; Arthropoda; Insecta; Hymenoptera; Encyrtidae
Description: eukaryotic LSU rRNA
Rfam family: Eukaryotic large subunit ribosomal RNA
Source: RNAcentral
ACAGGAAAGAGCCCAGGACUAAAUAUUACAGUUCCGCCAUUGGAAAAUGUGCUGUUCGAGAGGGUUUAAUUAUCCCAUGGCGUCGCUUGGUGUCCAAGUCCAUCUUAAACAAGGCCACUGACCCGCAGAGGAUGCCAGACCAGUAGUGACUAGAGCGCCAUGGAAAAACCUCUUCUUAGAGUUGGGUUAUUGAGUUAUUCGGGGCACGCGGUCGCUGCGUCAUGUCCAAUGAUGCCGGUGUGCACUUCCCUCCUAGUUGGAUGUUGCGACCCGUUGGGUGUCGAUUGACGGCUCGUACGGGAGACUGUCGUACCAAACCGGCACGGCAGACCAUCAGUGUUUUUCACCCAAUCGACUGCCUAGCUGUAUUAGAAACUUUGAAUCAAGAUUGGAAUCAAGUUGCACUUUUAAAUCCGUUCGGGUUGGCAAAUGAUUUAUUGAGUCUCGCUCGGAUUUAACGGACCUUGUGCCGUUGUCGUGCGCGCUUGGCUCUUUUAAACGCUAAUGUUUCCAAACCAACUCGGAAAAGCCUAGCGCUUUUCAAUUAAAAUUACUGGUUAGCGACGAUUUUCUUUGGAUUUUUUUAGGACCCGUCUUGAAACACGGACUAAGGAGUCUAACAUGUACGCGAGUCAUUGGGACUUGUAUUAUUUUAUUCAAAAAUAACUCAGCCUAAUUGCGCAAUGAAGGUAAAAGUUUGUGAGUUUCGUGCUCCAAGACCUAAGGAGAAUGAUUCUUGCAUGAAUAGGGAUCCGCACUCCCGGGGCAUCUCGUGCUUAUUGCGAGCUAAUUCACUCUAAGAGCGUAUACGUUGGGACCCGAAAGAUGGUGAACUAUGCUUGGUCAGAACAAAGUCAAGGGAAAUCCUGAUGGAGGUCCGUAGCGAUUCUGACGUGCAAAUCGAUCGUCAGAACUGGGUAUAGGGGUGAAAGACUAAUCGAAACAUCUAGUAGCUGGUUCCCUUUGAAGUUUACCUUAGGAUAGCUGGCACAAUUAAUUUUUAGUUUUAUCUGGUAAAGCAAAUGUUUAAAGGCCUUGGGGCCGAAACGACCUUAACCUUUUUCCAAGCUCUAAAUGGGUAAGAUCUCAGGCUUGCUUGAAUAUUAAAGCCAUGAGAUUAAUAUACAAAAAAAAAAAAUCAGAGUGCCAAGUGGGCCAAUUUUGGUAAGCAGAACUAGUGCUGUGGAAUGAACCAAACGCCGAGUUAAGGCGCCAAAGUCGACGCUUAUGAGAUACCAUGAAAGGCGUUGGUUGCUUAAGACAGCAGGACGGUGGCCAUGGAAGUCGGAAUCCGCUAAGGAGUGUGUAACAACUCACCUGCCGAAGAAACUAGCCCUGAAAAUGGAUGGCGCUAAAGCGUUGCGCCUAUGCUCAGCCGUCAGCGGCAAGUGGGGCGUUGUAAAAGCAAUUUUUUAACGUCAUGAAGCUCUUACGAGUAGGUGGGUUGCGGCGCUGUGCGCACAAGGAUCUGGGCGUGAGCCUGCCUGGAGCGGCCGUCGGUGCAGAUCUUGGUAGUAGUAGCAAAUACUUCAGCGUGAGUAGCAUAUACUGUGAGGCCCUGGAGGACUGACGUGGAGAAGGGCUUCGCGUAAAGAGCCGUUGCACACGAGUCAGUCGAUCCUAAGCCCAAGGAGAAAUUCUAUGUCGAUGACGGUGUUUAAAUUUAUUAUUUUUAAUAACUAAAAUCACACAAACUUUGGGCCAAAGGGAAAUCGGUUACAAUUCCGAAACCUGGCAGCAGAACAGCUCAAAAUUCGGGCUCUCGCAAGAGUGUUUGUCGGGGUAACCUUAAGUGAUCUGGUGACGCCAACGGGAGAUCCGGGAUAAGUUUCCUUUUCUGCAUAAGCGUUCGAGUUUCCUAAAAACUUCUAGCAGGUAGAUAGGGUUUGGAACGCGAAGAGCACUGCAGUUUUAGUGGUGUCCGGAUCUUCCUGCGGACCUUAAAAAUUAAGGAUAGGGGCACGUGGAGUACCUCUCGUUCGUACCUAUAUCCGCAGCAGGUCUUUUAGGUAAAAAGCCUCUAGUUGAUAAAAUAAUGUAGGUACGGGAAGUUUUCAAAUUGGAUCCGUAACUUCGGAAUAAGGAUUUGCUCUGAGGAGUGGGGCGUGUCGGGCUUGGUCGGAAAGCGGAGGUGGCUGACGUGCUGGGCCUGGGCGAGGUUUAAUUUGGCAGCGUAUUCCGCGCGUGCAUUUUGUUCAGGCUUUGCGUGUCGUUAUUUCGUCGUGGAUGGCGACCGAGCUCGGUACCGUGCCUUUGCUUUUCGCUGAUCUCCCUUACUGCCAGGCUUACGUGACAGUUCCGCCGUUGCGUUCGUUUUUUUUGGUCACUAUUUAAAGCUUAGCUCAGAACUGGCAAGGAUCACGGGAAUUUAACUGUCUUAUUAAAACAAAGCUUUGCUAUGGCCCUCGCGGGUAAUGACUUAUUGUGAUUUCUGCCUAGUGUUAUGAAUGUUAACGUGAAGAAAUCCAAGCAAGCGCGGUUAUGAGGUGGGAGUAACUUUGACUCAUUUUAACCUUGCUGACGGUAGGCUGGUUGCUGCCCGUCUCUGGUCGAGGGUUCAGACUCCUGCCCUAUCUCGAGAAGUUCUAUCAGAAGGCCAACCAGAUCUCUGCCAAUAGCAGUCGCAAAUAAUGCAGCCAAUGUCACCUGAGCGUUUGCCUCCAGACAAUUAUUGUCAGGAGUGUGGUCGGUAUUUCCGUGGAGCGGCCGGUCUUUAGAUCUAUUGGAGCAGAUUCUUUCUGAACUGGCGUCCCUAUGUACCACAGCCAGAUCUUUUGGUCCCGGAUCCGACUCUGGCGGCUGAUUUUAUCUGCCUGGAGUGUGGCCACCCUUUUUUUACUAAGAUCGGUUUAGGAGGACAUAGGCGCCAUGCUCAUCCCGAAAAGGUCAAUACGAAGAUCAUCGUCCAGGGCCUGACGAAGGUGUGGU